Long non-coding RNA from Bubalus bubalis (water buffalo), 3320 nucleotides. RefSeq lists it as uncharacterized. The record is from RefSeq and is a predicted model, not a curated record. Lineage: Eukaryota; Metazoa; Chordata; Mammalia; Artiodactyla; Bovidae. The transcript is spliced from 4 exons.
GGGAGCAUCUCUGUAGAUCCAGCUCCAGGAGGGAGAGGAGAGGCUUCAAGGUUUAACAUAUCCAAAGCACAUGAUGUCAAUUUGUCUCCAUUAAAGAAAAAAUUUAAAGACACUCAUUAAAGAUGGUAAGAAAAAAAAGAUGGUAAGAAAAAAAAAUGGUAAGAAAGAUUUUGUUUAAGAGGGACUACUGCAAUGGGGUUAUUAAUGUGUUUACCCACCACUUUUCCCUAUUAUACUAUUAGGUUACUAUUUUCUUCAGGUUACUACUUUAAAAUUUGUAAUUAAUAAAUAUCUUAUUGGAACAUAUCUGAAACUAUAUAAAUAUCAGGUUUUUCAUCAAACUUUCACCCAUUAGUUUUAGUAUCCAGAAAUGAUUCUCACUUGAAUCAAUCAUUACUGUGAUGACUGGGAAUGGUAAUUUUCUAGUUUCAUUUUUCCUUCUUCUAUAAGGAGAGCUUUCCAGUCACAUAUAUUUAUUUAGUUAAUAUUAGCAUGGACUUAGGGAUCCUUAUUUUAUUCAGUAGGUUAUAAUCUGUUACUGUGACUGUUUUGAUGCUUAAAGUGUCCUUGAUUUGGUCAGUGGAAGUCCCUUCAAGUUGGCUCCUUUGUUCUUUUGAUAUUUUUGAGGAGUCCUUUAAUUUCUGGCACAAGUUGUUCCAGGCUCAUCUUGUACCUUUCCUGCCACAGCCUUGAAAUCAGCCAUUUUCCCAAGGGGAGUGGUUCCUUUUUUGGAGGAUGGAAUUUAGAAUCAAAGAUCUGGGCACUGGCUGUGCUUGUUGCUACUAGGGUGUCAUUGUUCAAUGAUUCAAUCUCUAAUUCUAAGGUUUCAGAUUCCACAAUUUAACACUUGUAUCUGUGAACAAAGAUGCAUAUUCAAGGACAUUUAUUUUCUCAUCACUUUCUCAGCUUAUUUCUCAAAUGCCUCCUAACUGUUCUCCCUAUUUCUACAAUGGCCCCUCUAUAGUCUCUUUUCCACACAUCAUCCAGAAUAAUUUUUUAAAAAUCUCAUCACAUUUCCCUGUGCUCAUAAUGUUCCUCUAAGGAAAAAAAAUCCAAAAUUUUCUACAUCACUUCAAGAUGCCACAGGAUCCAGCUUCAUCUGUAACUUCAUUAACUAUUCAGUUCAGUUCAGUCACUCAGUCGUGUCUGACUCUUUGUGACCCCAUGAACCACAGCAUGCCAGGCCUCACGGUCCAUCACCAACUCCUGGAGUCCACCCAAACCCAUGUCCACUGAGUUGGUGACACCAUCCAUUAACUGUUACAUUCUCACUAACUCACCAGACAAGGACACCCCAGCCAAGGGUGUUUGUACUUGCUUUUCUCCCCCAGCUAUUCAAAUGGCUUGUAAAGGUCUUUAUUAGGUCUCCACUGAAGAGUCACCUCUUCUGAGAAGCCUUCCGUAAGUAUCCUGAUGAAAACAGCACCUCAUCACUUAUUGCUGUAUGACACUGCAUUGUAUAUUCCCCUUUGCUUAUUGUCAGUCUUCAUUUCCCUACAUUACAUCUCUAGAGUAAGCUCUAUAGAGGGCAGAGAGUUGUUUAUUUUUCUCCUAGAGCCCCAGUGCCUAGAAUACUGCCCAGCAUAUGUGGGCUUUCAAAUGCCUGUCAAGUCAAUGAAGAUGACUUUCAUUCCUUGGGACUUUUGCAUUCACCAUACUUUCUGCCUGGCUUCCCCUCACCCUUCUCUUUGCACAGCUAGCUUUUUCAUAUUCUUUAGGUCUCAGCUUAAAUGUUUUCCAUAAGGACAGAAACUGCCAUGGCUAUCUCAUUCACGACUAUAUCCUCAAGGCCUGCGAUAGUUCCUGGCAAAUAAAAGGCAUUCAAGAAAUUUGUUGGAUGGAUUUUUAAUAGCUAAAAACUGGAAAGAAUCCAAAUGCUACAGACUGUUACAGAAUGAGGCGGCCGCGCUCCACCGCUUCCCCCGCGGAACUGUCGUCCCCGCUGUCGCUGCUGGCCGGCGGCCGCAGGACUCCCCUCUUGACGCGGUGCUCGGGCUCUCGCAGGCACGGCGCGCCUUGCAGCAGGAACUCGCCGCCGCGUGUAAUUACAGGAGUCAAAUGUGGAAGAUGGAAACUCAAGAGUCACUGGCUUUGAAGAUGGAAAGAGGGUCAUGAGCCUCGUGAGCCAAGGAAUGCAGGCAGCCCGAAAAGCUGGAAAAGCUGGAAAAGACAAGGAAAUGGAUUCUUCCCAGAAAGGAAUGCAAUUCUGCCAAUACCUUGAUUUUAGUUAAUGAGACAGAAUUCCAGUCUCCAGAACUGUAAGAUAAUACAUUUGUAUUGUUUAAAGCCUCUAAGUCUGUGGUAAUUUGUUAGACCAUUAGUGGAAAAUUAAUAUACCUCCCCACUCUAUUUAUAACUGCCCCUUUCUCCCCCAUGGGGAUCUGAUCACCCUGAGUGGGAGAUGAGAGUGUGAGACCAAGCUCAAGUUGAAGCCUGGGACAAUGAGAAGCCUGUGUUUUAAUGUUCUGACAUACUUGCUGAAGACCUCUGCUGGUCUGGGGCGGAGGGUAGUUUUAAGGAAAAAUGAGAAAAAUAAGAACCAGGUCAAGUUUCUCAGCGUUUAUUCACCCUGAUUCCAGUAACAGCCUCCACAUUUUUAGGGUUCCACACCUUAUCUACUGUUAGGAAAGUGGUUCUGGGGGAGUUGGUUCUAGCCCAUCCUUAAAUUACCUAGGUGAUUUAGGGCUCGACCAAUCAUCACUGACAUCCCUUUGGCCAUAGUGACUAGUUUAGGCUAGCCAUGUGACUCAAUUUGGGCCAAUGGGAACCAAGCCCAGGGCUCUGUUCUCUUUUUGUGUGGAGGGAAGGGCUCUCUCCCCUGGACCGAAAUCUGGAAGAAUGCAGUUCUGGAUCCAAAGGCAAUGCUCUCUCAGCAUGGAAUCGCAUAAGAAGUGGAACCAAAGGUCAGAGGGAGAUAUUGAGUCCUAAUGACAUCGUUUGAAUCCUGGACUUUGAAGUUAUGUGAGCCAUUAAAUUCCUUCUCCCCCCUCCUCAGUUUUUUAGGAUAUAGUUGGUAUACAGCACUGUUUAAGGUGUAGAACAUAAUGAUUUGACUUAAAUUUAUUGUGAAACGAUUACUACAAUAGGUUUGGUCAAUAUCCAUCGUCUCAUAUAGAUACAAAAAAAAUUUUAUUUUCCUUCUGAUGAGAACUCUUAGGGUCUACUCUCUUAACAACUUUCAGAUAUACCAUACAGCAGUGUUAACUUUGGUCAUCAGGUUAUACUUUACCUCCCUAGUAUAUGUUUAUCUUAUAACUGGAAAUCUGUAUUUUGAUCAGCUUUAUCCAACUUCCCUCUCCUCACCCCGCAAUAAAUUCCUU